RNAcentral lists this non-coding RNA (30 nucleotides) under Mus musculus (house mouse). Lineage: Eukaryota; Metazoa; Chordata; Mammalia; Rodentia; Muridae. The record is from RNAcentral.
UACUAGAACUUUGUAGAUAAAAUGUUUGAA